GAAAUGCGAUAAGUAAUGUGAAUUGCAGAAUUCAGUGAAUCAUCGAAUCUUUGAACGCACAUUGCGCCCGCCAGUAUUCUGGCGGGCAUGCCUGUCCGAGCGUCAUUUCAACCAUCAAGCCCCCGGGCUUGUGUUGGGGACCUGUGGCUGCCCGCAGGCCCUGAAAACCAGUGGCGGGCUCGCUGUCACACCGAGCGUAGUAGCAAUCACCUCGCUCAGGGCGUGCUGCGGGUUCCGGCCGUUAAACAGCCUUACAAAACCCAAGGUUGACCUCGGAUCAGGUAGGAAGACCCGCUGAACUUAAGC
RNAcentral lists this unclassified non-coding RNA (306 nucleotides) under plant metagenome. RNAcentral's name for it is "partial contains 5.8S ribosomal RNA, internal transcribed spacer 2, and large subunit ribosomal RNA". The stretch from base 1 to 105 matches the Rfam family "5.8S ribosomal RNA", at positions 50 to 154 of the family's 154-position model. The record is from RNAcentral.